GCACUGGAUUCUGUUCAUAGUUUCCCUCAGAGUUAGCUUCCUAGGUUGAGUUCAAAAACCAAGUAUGAUGCUUUGGAUAAACUAAAUGAAGAGCUUACUACAAGCAACUAAAAGCCAAACAAAUCGAAUAGCAUGUAAAAUCAGGGUUAUGCACCUGUAUUUGAAGAAGGCACAAAGUCUAAAUGUGGCAGUCAUGGUGAUAUGCAACAGUCAAAUGAGAAGAAAAGUCAUGAUGAAGAGUUUGAGCAUGACAGUAAUGGAUACAGUAAAGAGGUUAG
Molecule: non-coding RNA, 278 nt
Organism: Prunus mume (Japanese apricot)
Lineage: Eukaryota; Viridiplantae; Streptophyta; Magnoliopsida; Rosales; Rosaceae
Source: RefSeq, a predicted model, not a curated record